UACAGAGGGUGCAAGCGUUAAUCGGAAUUACUGGGCGUAAAGCGCACGUAGGCGGUUAGUUAAGUUGGAUGUGAAAGCCCCGGGCUCAACCUGGGAAUUGCAUUUGAAACUGGCCAACUAGAGUAUGUGAGAGGGGGGUAGAAUUCCAAGUGUAGCGGUGAAAUGCGUAGAGAUUUGGAGGAAUACCAGUGGCGAAGGCGGCCCCCUGGCACAAUACUGACGCUCAGGUGCGAAAGCGUGGGGAGCAAACAGG
Molecule: ribosomal RNA, 253 nt
Filed under: uncultured bacterium
Lineage: Bacteria
Description: partial 16S ribosomal RNA
Rfam family: Bacterial small subunit ribosomal RNA
Source: RNAcentral